Molecule: ribosomal RNA, 425 nt
Filed under: uncultured bacterium
Lineage: Bacteria
Description: partial 16S ribosomal RNA
Rfam family: Bacterial small subunit ribosomal RNA
Source: RNAcentral
GUGGGGAAUCUUGCGCAAUGGGCGAAAGCCUGACGCAGCCAUGCCGCGUGAAUGAUGAAGGUCUUAGGAUUGUAAAAUUCUUUCACCGGGGACGAUAAUGACGGUACCCGGAGAAGAAGCCCCGGCUAACUUCGUGCCAGCAGCCGCGGUAAUACGAAGGGGGCUAGCGUUGCUCGGAAUUACUGGGCGUAAAGGGCGCGUAGGCGGACAGCUUAGUCAGAGGUGAAAGCCCAGGGCUCAACCUUGGAAUUGCCUUUGAUACUGGCUGUCUUGAGUACGGGAGAGGUGAGUGGAACUCCGAGUGUAGAGGUGAAAUUCGUAGAUAUUCGGAAGAACACCAGUGGCGAAGGCGACUCACUGGCCCGUUACUGACGCUGAGGCGCGAAAGCGUGGGGAGCAAACAGGAUUAGAAACCCGAGUAGUCC